RNAcentral lists this ribosomal RNA (1629 nucleotides) under Triticum aestivum (bread wheat). Its description in RNAcentral is "partial small subunit ribosomal RNA". The record is from RNAcentral. Lineage: Eukaryota; Viridiplantae; Streptophyta; Magnoliopsida; Poales; Poaceae.
AUGUUACCUAAAAAACAUCUAUCUGGCUGUGAGAAAAGAAACAACAAGAAAAGAGUAGACACGUUGAUUAAAUCUCAGGAAGGCGCUAUGGAUAUGUUUGUCUUGAGGACUGGUGCUGCUACAAAUUCAGAGCAAUUAUAUAUCACAAAUGGUGAAGAAAAACCUGAUGAUACUAAGAAUGCCAGUGAGGAAAAUCAUGUCGAGAAAAAUAAUGCUGCGGAAAAUGAUGCCGAUCAGCACACGGAAAAUUUUAGUGACCAUGAGAAUCUUGGAAAUGCAGAUGAGCAGGGUUCUUCUUUUGAUAUAUAUGAUCCUAGAACUUGGAAUAUUCUUGACAAUAAAUCAAGAGAUAUUCUCAUUGAAAAAGGACCUAUAAGGGAAUACAAUCUUGUGUUUCCCGAAGAUGAAAUUAGUGGCAGGCAUUUUUCAUAUGAUUACUACACAAGAAAGUUAAGGAAUGGCGAGUUCAGUGAUCGGAGGUGGUUAGUGUACUCUAAACACAUGAAUAAAGUCUACUGUUUUUGUUGCAAAUUGUUUAAAUCUGGAAAAAGCAAAAGUCUGCUAGCAUCCGAGGGAUUGAAGGAUUGGAGACAUCUUAGUGAGAAGCUCAAAUUGCAUGAGAAUAGUGUUGAGCAUAUCACUAACAUGAAUACUUGGAAUGAGGUAAGGCUGAGGCUAAGUAAGAAGGAAACAAUUGAUAAAGACAUGCAACAAGAGAUUGCAAGGGAGAAGGAGCGAUGGAGACUUGUUUUAAUUAGAAUUGUUGCUGCUGUGAAAUUUCUUGCUAAACAUAGUCUGGCUUUUCGAGGAUCGAAUGAGAAAUUAUAUCAAGAUAACAACGGAAUUUUUUUGGGAGUAAUUGAAAUGAUGGCAGAAUUUGAUCCUGUAAUGCAAGAGCAUCUUCGGCGCAUUAAGAAUAGUGAAAUCGAUCAUCAUUAUCUUGGCCAUAAUAUUCAGAAUGAGUUAAUUUCCCUUCUUGGUCGCACUGUUAAAUAUUCUCUGUUGAGGAUAAUUAAGGAUGCAAGGUAUUUCUCUGUCAUCUUGGACUGUACACCUGACGUGAGCCAUCAAGAACAAAUGACUCUAAUUGUGAGGUGCGUAAACAUGUCAAGUACUACUACAAAAAUAGAGGAGUUUUUUCUGGAGUUCUUGAAGGUGGAUGAUACAUCCGGACUUGGACUUUAUAAUGUGUUAAUAGAUUCACUUAAAUCUGUUGGUUUGGAUGUUAAAGAUGUUCGUGGACAAGGGUAUGACAAUGGUUCGAACAUGAAGGGAAAACACCAAGGGGUACAGAGCAGACUACUUGAAACUAAUCCAAGAGCAUUAUUCAUGCCAUGCGCUUGUCAUAGCCUGAACCUUACUCUUAGUGAUAUGGCAAAAUCUUGCGGUAAAGCUGUUACCUUCUUUGGUGUUGUGCAAAGAAUUUAUAUAUUGUUUUCAAGCUCUACUAAAAGAUGGCAGCUAUUGCUUGAUCAUGUUCCAAAAAUGACAGUUAAGUCUUUGUGUAACACUCGAUGGGAGAGUCGAAUAAAGAGUGUUCAGGCUAUCAGAUAUCAAGCACCCGAGUUAAGAAAAGCAUUACUGGAAUUGAAGAGAACUUCUACCGAUGACGCCAAGACUAAGAAUUGA